RNAcentral lists this microRNA precursor (90 nucleotides) under Lutzomyia longipalpis. RNAcentral describes it as "microRNA bantam". It matches the Rfam family "bantam microRNA precursor family". Lineage: Eukaryota; Metazoa; Arthropoda; Insecta; Diptera; Psychodidae. The record is from RNAcentral.
UUCUUUUGCUGAGACCGGUUUUCGAUUUGGUUUUACUUAUUUUAAAAUACAGUGAGAUCAUUUUGAAAGCUGAUUUCGAGCAAAAUUGCA